AGACCACUAGGGGUCCUCAUACCAUCCAGAACAUAACCCUGUUCGGCUGCAGCAUCAUCUUUGUCCCAGCUAAAGCACAGGCUGGGACAAAAUCCAGGAAGUGAGGGCAGGAUUAGCACUCCUCUAACACCUGUCCAAUCAGACUGCAGCAUGAAAACAGAGAGGAGGGGGUUACAACAAAGGCUGCAGUGAUUGGAUGAAGAGACCCAGCACAGCACAGAAGACUCAAGGAGAAAAAUGAGUCAUGCAGAGUGAGGACAUGCCCCCUGUAAAGCACAGAAUAACAAACCAAGUAGGCAACAGAUAGAAGCUCAGAUAUUUUAAAGCAAUGGAUAAGGCUGGGAGAACUCAAGAAACUAUGAAAUAGUCUUUGGCUGCGACAAGCAACUAAUUGCACAAUUGAUUUGUUGCCGAUAAAUUAAUCGAUGAAUCAGGGUCUAAAAAAAGGCCAUUAUGCUGCCGGGAGAGCGUUCCAAAAAAAAGAAAAAUUGCAAGCUGAAAAAUAAAUAUAUGUAGAGAGCGAGCAGUAAUUUGCAGCGCUGUAGUGGAUUCAUGUCACUUCAGCUGCCAAAGCCUUUGUAAUGAUUUUUCUUUUUAAUAGGCUUUUCGAAUGAGCAUGUUGAGAAAUUUUUGGUGGUACGGAGGCUGCAGUCUAAUUCUAACAUGGUUGACUUACUUAAACUUAUUUUUUUACUUACUGUAAAGUAUUU
Hyla sarda is the source of this 710-nucleotide long non-coding RNA. RefSeq lists it as uncharacterized. The transcript has 3 exons. Lineage: Eukaryota; Metazoa; Chordata; Amphibia; Anura; Hylidae. The record is from RefSeq and is a predicted model, not a curated record.